Molecule: ribosomal RNA, 404 nt
Filed under: Actinomycetes bacterium
Lineage: Bacteria; Bacillati; Actinomycetota; Actinomycetes
Description: Actinobacteria bacterium partial 16S ribosomal RNA
Rfam family: Bacterial small subunit ribosomal RNA
Source: RNAcentral
UGGGGAAUAUUGGACAAUGGGCGCAAGCCUGAUCCAGCCAUGCCGCGUGAGUGAUGAAGGCCCUAGGGUUGUAAAGCUCUUUCACCGGUGAAGAUAAUGACGGUAACCGGAGAAGAAGCCCCGGCUAACUUCGUGCCAGCAGCCGCGGUAAUACGAAGGGGGCUAGCGUUGUUCGGAUUUACUGGGCGUAAAGCGCACGUAGGCGGACUUUUAAGUCAGGGGUGAAAUCCCGGGGCUCAACCCCGGAAGUGCCUUUGAUACUGGAAGUCUUGAGUAUGGUAGAGGUGAGUGGAAUUCCGGGUGUAGAGGUGAAAUUCGUAGAUAUUCGGAGGAACACCAGUGGCGAAGGCGGCUCACUGGACCAUUACUGACGCUGAGGGGCGAAAGCGUGGGGAGCAAACAGG